This 27-nucleotide small RNA is filed under the name Bombyx mori (domestic silkworm). Its description in RNAcentral is "ovarian small RNA-25619". Lineage: Eukaryota; Metazoa; Arthropoda; Insecta; Lepidoptera; Bombycidae. The record is from RNAcentral.
UCAGAGUAUGUCCAUGUGGAAGCUUAU